Molecule: ribosomal RNA, 253 nt
Filed under: uncultured bacterium
Lineage: Bacteria
Description: partial 16S ribosomal RNA
Rfam family: Bacterial small subunit ribosomal RNA
Source: RNAcentral
UACGUAGGUGGCAAGCGUUAUCCGGAAUUAUUGGGCGUAAAGAGCGCGCAGGUGGUUAAUUAAGUCUGAUGUGAAAGCCCACGGCUUAACCGUGGAGGGUCAUUGGAAACUGGUUGACUUGAGUGCAGAAGAGGGAAGUGGAAUUCCAUGUGUAGCGGUGAAAUGCGUAGAGGUAUGGAGGAACACCAGUGGCGAAGGCGGCUUCCUGGUCUGCAACUGACACUGAGGCGCGAAAGCGUGGGGAGCAAACAGG